RNAcentral lists this ribosomal RNA (466 nucleotides) under uncultured bacterium. RNAcentral's name for it is "partial 16S ribosomal RNA". It matches the Rfam family "Bacterial small subunit ribosomal RNA", at positions 28 to 507 of the family's 1533-position model. The record is from RNAcentral.
GAUGAACGCUGGCGGCGUGCUUAACACAUGCAAGUCGAACGAUGAAGCCCAGCUUGCUGGGUGGAUUAGUGGCGAACGGGUGAGUAACACGUGAGUAACCUGCCCUUAACUCUGGGAUAAGCCUGGGAAACUGGGUCUAAUACCGGAUAGGAGCGCCUACCGCAUGGUGGGUGUUGGAAAGAUUUAUCGGUUUUGGAUGGACUCGCGGCCUAUCAGCUUGUUGGUGAGGUAAUGGCUCACCAAGGCGACGACGGGUAGCCGGCCUGAGAGGGUGACCGGCCACACUGGGACUGAGACACGGCCCAGACCCCUACGGGAGGCAGCAGUGGGGAAUAUUGCACAAUGGGCGAAAGCCUGAUGCAGCGACGCCGCGUGAGGGAUGACGGCCUUCGGGUUGUAAACCUCUUUCAGUAGGGAAGAAGCGAAAGUGACGGUACCUGCAGAAGAAGCACCGGCUAACUACGUG